AAAAGUUGCAGCACAGCGUGUCACCAGAGAGGAAAAGAAUAUCCUUGCUGUGCCAAGAAAGAAAAGACCAUGGAUCUACUAGUUGCAGAUUUCAGCAGUAAUGCCAAGGGGGCAAGAAGUGACCAGCAGAACAAUUAGGCCAUGGCAACAGAAGCCAACUACAACCCAUGUUCCAAUCUAUGACCUCCCUCUCCUGCUGGUACAAGGAUAUGAAUGUGGCUGUAGCAUCAUUUUUGGAAGCCAGAAUGGUAAUACUGAAAAUCACUGCUUGUCUCAAGAUCCAACUUCUGGAAAUCUCAACCAUUCUGAAUACAGCCAUCAUUCUUAAAAUUGAAGAGAACUGUUUUACAAGAUCUUGACUUGUAAAGAAACCAAGUUUAUUAAGGGCAAGAGCUGAUAAUCAACUGACUAAUGAGGAUUGACUUCUACAAUUGAUGAGCAUGGAAUUGGAUGUGCCUAAAUCAACAGAAGAGGGAUUUUGAUGUCAUCACACUGUAGCCCCAGAAGACAGAACGCUCAAAGGUGUCAAUGGGCAGAAUUUGUAGAUGACAUACAGCAUCCAAUGGAUUACUCCUAUUCAGAUUGUUGUUUUGUUUGCUAGACAUGAUUUUAGGAUUUUGUCAAGGAAGCCAUCUAUGACCCCAAUCAAUCAAAACCAUAAGGAUCAAGGCUGGAAGAACCUAUUCCUUAGAGCAAAGGAUGCAAUGUCAAGCAAGUUGUGAUACCUCAACUAUCUACAAUUUAACACCAAGGAAAGAACACUGUUUGGAGAAAUGAGAAAGAUUAUCAUCAGUGUCUUUCAGAAGUCAUCAAAAGAAGAAAAGGAGAAAAGAGAGGAGAAAGCAGAAAGAUCUGGAGUCUGGGAAGUUCAAGAGCAUGGCACCAACAUCUGGCAAGGGCUUUCAUUCUGCAUCAUCUCAUGGAGGAAAAUAAAAAGGAGGCUGGAUGCUCCUGUGAAGUACGUCUUUUAUCUACUUGCUAUCUUUGCAAUUCCUUCAUGCUACAAUGAGAGAUAGAGUUUAAACCUGAAAACAUUCUUGGAAAAGGAAUCUUCAUUAAUUCAAAUAUACCACAAGAUUCACCACCAUCACUACUCUAAGUAUUUUUCUUCUUGAGAAAGAGAAGGAGAGGGAAAGCAAGGAAGAGGAAGAGAAAGAGAAAUGGAUAAAAACAUGGUCAAGUAGAAGAGUCUGUGAUUUCAGGUAAAUCCAGAUUUGGAGCUUAAAUGACUCAAAUGCUUUGCCUACAUUGAUCCUACAUUCAGGCUGCUUACAUAUCUCUUGGCUUCUCUGAGAACCAGAUUGUCACCACUUAAAGUGUCUUCCAGAGUCCUCACGAGUAUCAGAGAAGGCAUAAUCUGUACACGUGGCUUCAUUUAAAAUGAAAAUAUCAAGCAGUGUCAUUUUCACAAGUAUCCCCACACUGUCUGAGGCUGAAAAGAAGAGUGUAGCUAUGCACACUGCAGUGAGAAGAAAAUUUCAGCUCAAUUGGAGGAUGUAAAGAUUGAAAUACCACUGCUCCUAGUUCUGAUGCAAAAUUGAAAAGAGUGCACUGGGUCUUCAAAUGGCAUAUUGACAAGGAGAAAGAGGAAAGGAUGCCCCAGGACAGCCUGGGGGUCAAGGCUGGGCUCAGGCAUGCCUGGACAAGCCAUGCAAGUUGUCUCCGGACUUGAACCACGUAUCAGAGGAGCUAUUUGAGGAGCCACAUCAGCAUACCUGCUUCUGUGGGCCCCCAGGCUGUGGUGCUCAGCCCUUGCACUAUGAAACAUUUUUUUUUUCCAGAAGCCAAAGCUUUGAGCAUCUCCUCCCAUGUAGAGAGUGUAUAUGUUUACGUCCAUGUCUUUCGCCAUGUGAACGCAUGCAACCACCACCUCAAAUAUCAUAAAUCCUCUCUCUCCCCCUUUCUGUCUGCCUGUUUAUCUACAAUCUGUCUAUUUAAAUUCUUUUUAAACAAGAAGGGAAUAUCUUUAUGCCUGUUUGUAGGGAUAUUCUACAUCCAUCUGUUAUUUACAUCAUUCGUUUUCCUGAGGUGUCUCCAACAAAUCCUGGCUGGAUGCACUGUAUGUGUUAUUAAUAAAACAGCUGUAAAAAUAUUAA
Molecule: long non-coding RNA, 2096 nt
Filed under: Homo sapiens (human)
Lineage: Eukaryota; Metazoa; Chordata; Mammalia; Primates; Hominidae
Description: HSALNT0394518
Source: RNAcentral